This 600-nucleotide ribosomal RNA is filed under the name uncultured bacterium. RNAcentral's name for it is "bacterial SSU rRNA". The stretch from base 1 to 450 matches the Rfam family "Bacterial small subunit ribosomal RNA", at positions 95 to 542 of the family's 1533-position model. The record is from RNAcentral.
GCGGCGUACGGGUGCGGAACACGUGUGCACNUACCUUUAUCUGGGGGAUAGCCUUUCGAAAGGAAGAUUAAUACCCCAUAAUAUGUCUGAAUGGCAUCAUUCGACCAUUGAAAACUCCGGUGGAUAGAGAUGGGCACGCGCAAGAUUAGAUAGUUGGUGAGGUAACGGUCACCAAGUCUACGAUCUUUAGGGGGCCUGAGAGGGUGAUCCCCCACACUGGUACUGAGACACGGACCAGACUCNUACGGGAGGCAGCAGUGAGGAAUAUUGGACAAUGGGUGAGAGCCUGAUCCAGCCAUCCCGCUGUGAAGGACGACUGCCCUAUGGGUUGUAGACUUCUUUUGUAUAGGGAUAAACCUACCCUCGUGAGGGUAGCUGAAGGUACUAUACGAAUAAAGCACCGGUAACUCCGUGCCAGAAGCCGGGNAACUACGGAAGGGUGCAAGCGGUUUAUUCCCCGGGAUUUAAUAUGGGGGUUUCAACGGGGGUCCCGUAAGGCGGGGAUUCUUGUAAGUUCAGGUGGGUUGAAAAUCUUCACAGGUUUUAUUGGUGGAAAAAUUGGGCCAUUGGAAUCACUGGAGGGUCCUUGGAAGUGGUAGG